Sapajus apella (tufted capuchin) is the source of this 458-nucleotide long non-coding RNA. RefSeq lists it as uncharacterized. The transcript has 2 exons. NCBI's taxonomy places the organism in Eukaryota, Metazoa, Chordata, Mammalia, Primates, Cebidae. The record is from RefSeq and is a predicted model, not a curated record.
UCCUUGUUCCUCUGCUCUUUCUAGGAGAGUCUAGUGGGGACUAAAGUGAAACCAUAUUGGAGGGAAAAAUUUAACCUUGGAUUCACCAGGCUGCUGGAAGGAUUAGUUCCUUCCUACCAUGUUGUUGCUUCCUUCCACUAAAGUGUCUUUGACUUCAGUCUUGAAGAGAGUUUUACCCUCCCAUGUCACAGAAUCCUAAUGCUGCCACCCUAGGUUUAUAGGAGCAUCAUGACCUGACCAAGGAUAAAGAAGUUCCCAACCUCCUCAGACCCUCGCUGGCACCCAGAUGUCUGCAGUUGCCUGCUGGUCACCCCUUGAUCCCGAAACCCCUCCUCUUCCACCUCCUCUCAACAUAAAAAGUGCCUAAAAUUUGUACCAACUUAAGACGGCACUCAAGGAUGCUAGUUCACUUUCCUCUCUGUUUACUGGCUCUCUGAAUAAACCUACUUUUCCUCCCA